UUUCCGUAGGUGAACCUGCGGAAGGAUCAUUGUCGAAGCAUGCCCAGCAGAACGACCCGCGAACUUGUAUAACCAACCGGGGGCAGGGGCGAUCUCGCCCCGUGCCCUCGAACGGCAGGGAGACACUCGUGCCUUCUUGUCGAACAACGAACCCCGGCGCGGUCUGCGCCAAGGAACUUCCUUUAAAGAGGGCCUCCGGUCGCUUCGGAAACUAUGCGCGUGUCGUAGUCGUAUCUUGUACAAAACCGGAACGACUCUCGGCAACGGAUAUCUCGGCUCUC
This 281-nucleotide unclassified non-coding RNA is filed under the name plant metagenome. RNAcentral's name for it is "partial contains small subunit ribosomal RNA, internal transcribed spacer 1, and 5.8S ribosomal RNA". The record is from RNAcentral.